UGGUCCAGUGGUUAGGACUCAGCACUUUCACUGCUGGGGCAGGGGUUCAAUCCCCU
RNAcentral lists this transfer RNA (56 nucleotides) under Bos taurus (domestic cattle). It matches the Rfam family "tRNA", at positions 8 to 63 of the family's 71-position model. From Rfam's summary of the family: Transfer RNA (tRNA) molecules are approximately 80 nucleotides in length. Their secondary structure includes four short double-helical elements and three loops (D, anti-codon, and T loops). Further hydrogen bonds mediate the characteristic L-shaped molecular structure. tRNAs have two regions of fundamental functional importance: the anti-codon, which is responsible for specific mRNA codon recognition, and the 3' end, to which the tRNAs corresponding amino acid is attached (by aminoacyl-tRNA synthetases). tRNAs cope with the degeneracy of the genetic code in two manners: having more than one tRNA (with a specific anti-codon) for a particular amino acid; and 'wobble' base-pairing, i.e. permitting non-standard base-pairing at the 3rd anti-codon position. The record is from Rfam by way of RNAcentral. Lineage: Eukaryota; Metazoa; Chordata; Mammalia; Artiodactyla; Bovidae. RNAcentral also lists the same sequence under 4 other names.